GUAGGUGGCAAGCGUUGUCCGGAAUUAUUGGGCGUAAAGCGCGCGCAGGCGGUUCUUUAAGUCUGAUGUGAAAGCCCACGGCUCAACCGUGGAGGGUCAUUGGAAACUGGAGAACUUGAGUACAGAAGAGGAAAGCGGAAUACCACGUGUAGCGGUGAAAUGCGUAGAGAUGUGGAGGAACACCAGUGGCGAAGGCGGCUUUCUGGUCUGUAACUGACGCUGAGGCGCGAAAGCGUGGGGAGCAAACAGGAUUAGAUACCCUGGUAGUCCACGCCGUAAACGAUGAGUGCUAAGUGUUAGGGGGGUUUUCCGCCCCCCUUAGUGCUGCAGCUAACGCAUUAAGCACUCCCGCCUGGGAGUACGGCCGCAAGGCUG
This 375-nucleotide ribosomal RNA is filed under the name uncultured organism. RNAcentral describes it as "partial 16S ribosomal RNA". It matches the Rfam family "Bacterial small subunit ribosomal RNA", at positions 527 to 896 of the family's 1533-position model. The record is from RNAcentral.